CAACUUUUGACAAUGGAUCUCUUGGCUCUCGCAACGAUGAAGAACGCAGCAAAAUGCGAUAAGUAGUGUGAAUUGCAGAAUACGUGAAUCAUCGAAUCUUCGAACGCAUAUUG
RNAcentral lists this ribosomal RNA (113 nucleotides) under uncultured Piromyces. Its description in RNAcentral is "partial 5.8S ribosomal RNA". It matches the Rfam family "5.8S ribosomal RNA", at positions 1 to 113 of the family's 154-position model. Rfam says of the family: 5.8S ribosomal RNA (5.8S rRNA) is a component of the large subunit of the eukaryotic ribosome. Lineage: Eukaryota; Fungi; Neocallimastigomycota; Neocallimastigomycetes; Neocallimastigales; Neocallimastigaceae. The record is from RNAcentral.